Molecule: ribosomal RNA, 253 nt
Filed under: uncultured bacterium
Lineage: Bacteria
Description: partial 16S ribosomal RNA
Rfam family: Bacterial small subunit ribosomal RNA
Source: RNAcentral
GACGUAGGGUCCAAGCGUUGUUCGGAUUUACUGGGCGUAAAGGGCGCGUAGGCGGCGUGUUAAGUCAGCUGUGAAAUCUCCAAGCUUAACUUGGAACGGUCAGCUGAUACUGAUGUGCUAGAGUGCAGAAGGGGCAAUCGGAAUUCUUGGUGUAGCGGUGAAAUGCGUAGAUAUCAAGAGGAACACCUGAGGUGAAGACGGGUUGCUGGGCUGACACUGACGCUGAGGCGCGAAAGCUAGGGUAGCAAACGGG